RNAcentral lists this ribosomal RNA (201 nucleotides) under uncultured bacterium. Its description in RNAcentral is "partial 16S ribosomal RNA". It matches the Rfam family "Bacterial small subunit ribosomal RNA", at positions 151 to 334 of the family's 1533-position model. The record is from RNAcentral.
CGGAAACGACUGCUAAUACCGCAUAAUGCAGCGGCAGCUCAUGCUGAUUUGUUGUUAAAGCGGGGGAUCAGCAAUGACCUCGCGCCUAAAGAGAAGCCCGCGGCGGAUUAGCUAGUUGGUGAGGUAAUGGCUCACCAAGGCGUCGAUCCGUAGCCGGCCUGAGGGGGCGGUCGGCCUCACUGGGACUGAGACACGGCCCAG